UAGCGAAGGGGGCUAGCGUUGCUCGGAAUCACUGGGCGUAAAGGGCGCGUAGGCGGCCUGAUCAGUCGGGGGUGAAAGCCUGUGGCUCAACCACAGAAUGGCCUUCGAUACUGUCGGGCUUGAGACCGGAAGAGGUAAGUGGAACUGCGAGUGUAGAGGUGAAAUUCGUAGAUAGUUCGCAAGAACACCAGUGGCGAAGGCGGCUUACUGGUCCGGAUCUGACGCUGAGGUGCGAAAGCGUGGGGAGCAAACAGG
This 255-nucleotide ribosomal RNA is filed under the name uncultured bacterium. Its description in RNAcentral is "partial 16S ribosomal RNA". It matches the Rfam family "Bacterial small subunit ribosomal RNA", at positions 523 to 776 of the family's 1533-position model. The record is from RNAcentral.